AAAUAUUACUUGAUACAUUUAGAAUGAAGACCAUGUUUUCAGUGUCAUGAGUUUCAGUAAUCAUAUUUGUUGGACUUUGUUGUUUAAAAGUUUUUUGUGGUAAUAAGAUAUAUAGCAAAAAGGAGCUCUUCAAUGAAAAGUCAAAAUACUUCCAUAAAUGGUGGGAAUCUUGAAGGUACUACAAGUUUGCUCAAGUUUAAAACUAUGAUUGGGACACACAAACUGCUUUGUAUUUUUAUGCCCCACCUACGAUAGUAGAGGGGCAUUAUGUUUUCUGGUCUGUGCGUCCGUUCGUCCGUUCGUUCGUCCGUUCGUCCGUCUGUCCCGCUUCAGGUUAAAGUUUUUGGUCGAGGUAGUUUUUGAUGAAGUUGAAGUCCAAUCGACUUCAAACUUGGUACACAUGUUCCCUAUGAUAUGAUCUUUCUAAUUUUAAUGCCAAAUUAGAGAUUUUACCCCAAUUUUACGGUUCACUGAUAGAAAAUGUAGUGC
This 489-nucleotide long non-coding RNA is filed under the name Mytilus galloprovincialis (Mediterranean mussel). The record is from RNAcentral. Lineage: Eukaryota; Metazoa; Mollusca; Bivalvia; Mytilida; Mytilidae.